This 253-nucleotide ribosomal RNA is filed under the name uncultured bacterium. RNAcentral describes it as "partial 16S ribosomal RNA". It matches the Rfam family "Bacterial small subunit ribosomal RNA", at positions 524 to 776 of the family's 1533-position model. The record is from RNAcentral.
UACAGAGGGUGCAAGCGUUAAUCGGAAUUACUGGGCGUAAAGCGUGCGUAGACGGUUAUGUAAGUUAGGUGUGAAAGCCCCGGGCUCAACCUGGGAAUUGCAUUUAAGACUGCAUAGCUAGGGUGCGGAAGAGGGAAGCGGAAUUUCCGGUGUAGCGGUGAAAUGCGUAGAUAUCGGAAGGAACAUCAGUGGCGAAAGCGGCUUCCUGGUCCAGCACCGACGUUCAGGCACGAAAACGUGGGGAGCAAACAGG